Musa acuminata AAA Group (dessert banana) is the source of this 1403-nucleotide long non-coding RNA. RefSeq lists it as uncharacterized. The record is from RefSeq and is a predicted model, not a curated record. NCBI's taxonomy places the organism in Eukaryota, Viridiplantae, Streptophyta, Magnoliopsida, Zingiberales, Musaceae. The transcript has 3 exons.
CAGUAGGACGCGACCUGAUGUGCCGACAGGCGGCCCAUUCCCUUGUGGAGUCCCAGCGCCAUGGGCGCAUCGGUUUGAUGAAGCCGAAAGCGGCAUCGGAUCGCGGCAGCUCAGUCGCCCAUCACGUCGCACGCUGGCCCGGAAGGAGAAGGCACACAUGCCUCGCACCGUCAUGCGCGAAAGGGACUCCUCAUCUGCUCGACAUAAUGCGCGACGGUGCGGAUGGACCACAUGACGUUCCUCUAUCGAUCUUCCCAGGAUGAAGAGAGGAGCGCAACACAAGUCCAAGGAUGAUGUGAUGUUCCAGCUGUUCAGCUGGUGAGAUGUCAGGUGGGUGCUCGACGAAUUGCCUCAAAGAGAAAAUGUGAGGUGGUCACUGUUGCAGGGUCCCACUUUGCGAGAUGCUGAUUCCCUGUUCCCUGCCUGUGAUUCAACAGGAGAUCCGCUCGCUUAACGUGGCUGGUGUUGAACGCGCGUAGCCCCACUUGUGUCAUCCAAUAAGAUGAAUAGAUGAAUAGAUUGAGACGGAGAUAGCGCAGCAGCAGCCGCAGUAGCAGCAGGCAGAGAGAGAGAGAGAUGGCGAGGAACAUGAUGGAGCUCGUGAGAAGGGGAAGGAGCGGGUUGCCUCUUCUCCGAAUGGCCUCGCUCUUCUCUACUCAACGAGCGGUGGAUCCUGCGGCGGCUUCUCUGAAUCAACAAGGAAGCCACGCAAGUGAGCCCCUUUUCGCUCUUUGCUUCACCACUCCGUCGGACUAUAACCUUUUGCCUUGCAUUUACCUCUUUCUUUCCAUCUAUCCUCGAGCAAUCUUCAAACUUUGACAAAUGUACAAAAAUAAAGGAAGAAAAAGAGGCCAAAAAUUAUCUUUUAUGGUGACAAUAGUUUGGUUUGGUGAAAAUGCACAGAAAGAAAGGGAGAGAAAGAGCAAAAGUUGAAUUUUUUUUUUCCCUGGUGACAAGAGUUUGAUCUGGUGAACGCAGCGAAGCUUAUUGGGAGGACGCCGAUGGUGUACCUGAACGAAGUGACUGAAGGUUGUCAUGCACAGAUCGCAGCAAAGCUGGGCUUUUUGGCAACCUUCCUUCAGCGUGAAGGACAGGUGUGACAUGUUGCCCUGUCUCUCAGCUUAUUGGGAGGAGGCCGAUGGUGUACCUGAACAAAGUGACUGAAGGCUGUCAUGCACAGAUCGCAGCAAAGCUGGACUUUUUGCAACCUUCCUUCAGCGUGAAGGACAGGUGUGACAUGUUGCCCUGUCACCUGUCUUCAUGUAGUCCGCGAGAAGUGGGCUUGUCCACCGUCUGAUUGAUAGGCGAUUGCUCAUCGCCUGCUUCUCUUUCUCUUGUCUUCUGGCCGGCUGUGGCCAUGAUAGAAGAUGCUGAGAAGAAUGAGGUGAUGACUCCUGGCAAGG